AAGAGAGAGAUUAGUUUUCUAAACCCAUCGCAAAGUGAAGGGAUAGCUGAUUGUCAUCCCAUUUUUGAGACCUCAGUCAUCCUUCUGCGUGCAUCACCACAACUAAGAGGAAGGAAAGAGCACUGGAUGUGGAGUGAGGAGACAUGGAUUCUGUCACUACCCUGCUCUGCAGAACCCAAUAGUAUGUCAUUGAAACAAAACAAUACAAAACCCUGUCUACAAAAGAAGACUCAUAGGUCAACAAUAACUCGGGUUUCAUAAAGGAAGAAAGUCUUAGAGGAGGAAAAUCAACCCAUUCAAAUACAGGAGCAUCUGCUUAACACAAGACGGAACGAACCCCGCUGCCAGACCGGUGGUGUGGGCAGGCGAAUGUGUGCGUGUGCAUAGGAACAAGCCUAUAUAUGGAUGAGACAUUAGUGGCAACGAGAGGAGAGCCACCACGAUUGACAAAGCCACAACUAUUACGAUUUGAAAUAUCCCCCGCAGGCACUGACUUUUGGUGCCAGAAUCUCCCCGGAUUUAUUUUCAGGCAAGUGACUCACAACCUGGUCUCCAUAAGUAAUUCCAUUAAAAUGAGUCGCCGGUUCCACUA
Molecule: long non-coding RNA, 592 nt
Filed under: Homo sapiens (human)
Lineage: Eukaryota; Metazoa; Chordata; Mammalia; Primates; Hominidae
Description: HSALNT0063073
Source: RNAcentral